Molecule: small nucleolar RNA, 131 nt
Filed under: Phascolarctos cinereus (koala)
Lineage: Eukaryota; Metazoa; Chordata; Mammalia; Diprotodontia; Phascolarctidae
Description: Small nucleolar RNA SNORA70 (ENSPCIG00000026911.2)
Rfam family: Small nucleolar RNA SNORA70
About the family: snoRNA U70 seems to be exclusive to mammals and is a member of the H/ACA class of snoRNA which contain H (ANANNA) and ACA box motifs. H/ACA box snoRNAs are involved in the conversion of uridines to pseudouridines (5-ribosyluracil) a constituent of structural RNAs (transfer, ribosomal, small nuclear, and small nucleolar).
Source: Rfam by way of RNAcentral
CUGCAACCAAUUAAGCCGACCAACCCAAUUCUGUGUGGGGCUGGUGUGCAAUGGUUGCGGACAGUAUUUCCCUGGUUGUGUGUGUACCUUGUCCUUAAUACAGGGUAUUCUAAGGGACCUCGGAGACACUU